GUGUGAACAAAGAAGCCCAGAAAUGUUCCCCAACAACCCGCUGUGAACAGAAAUUCAUCAGUUUCAUUCCAACUGUGGGAGAAACCCCGAAGUGUGUGCGCGUGUGCUCGUGUGUGUGUGCGCGUGCGUGUGUGUGCGCGUGUGUGUGUGAUGAAUUAUUAGGGAUUUAGUUCCAUUGGCUCAGAGCCUUGACAGAUGCAAUUUAAAUCGUGCUGACAAUGCAUCAAAGUCACAUUCUUUGUGAGAUUCUUGUUUUCUUGAUUGUGUUGAUAUUUUCGGUGAUAAAUAUUCACCGCUGUAGUCGUUCCUCCUGCACUUCUUUGACAAUCAAUUCACAGCACUGUCAACCGUUUUUUGUGUGAUUCUCAGAACGAACAGACUAAAUAAGUUGAUACAAGACGUACCAGUUUAAGUGCAAAUAACAGCAGAAUUUCAGCUCUUGUCUGAAAGACGCAACAUCUUCACAGAUGAAAAAUAAAUCUAUAAAAAUGACAUAAACGUGCCACUGAUAAUAAUGUCUUUAUCUCAGAGAAAUAUACACUGAGCAUGUUUAUGUCACAGUGUUAAACAGACUUGAAGUUGAGUAAAAGAAAGCAGCAACCAUCAUCUUCAGUAUCGUUUUUUUAAUCUAUAACUGUUUGUCAAGGAAUACAGUUUCAUUUGGUAUAUACUUGUGUCACAGUGAGAGAGACAGCCAGGAAAGGCAGAGAAGAGACGAGCAGCAAAAGGGCCGCAUUAAGUACUCAACCUUAAGAGAAUUAACCUUUUUCUUUUACAUGAUUUCAAGAAAAUGGAACAACAAUUUGAUAUGAUUUGUUCGUUUUCUGAAGCACACUCGCCAUAGUUGAAGAAAUUAGUUCCAGUUACUGAAUUAUGUGAAUGCCAAGUUAAAAAUGAGAGGAUUCAAUACUGGAAGAUUACUGACAAUGCUCUUAAAAUGACAGCAUUUAACAGAAGCAUCAUAUCAGAUCAUUCCUGUGUGCUUUCAGGAGCUAAAUCAAUUGUGCCAGACUCCUGAAGCAACAGCGGGUCGUUGCAGCAGGUGAAGAUGUGUGAUACAGAUCCAAGUUUAGCUUUCAUCCCUUAAAAUAAACCGUUAAGUGUAGAAUAGACAAGUGGAUCUAAGCAGCAUGUUUUUACCUUUCUAUCGCCAAUAUCCACAACAGGGUUUGUAUCUGUACGAAAAGUAGCUUUUAUUCUGAAUAAAGCCAAAUUCCAACAUUUGAAAAACCAGAAUGGAUACAUUCACGUCUCCAACAAAAAACAAGCGUCAUUGUAUAAAAUAGAAGCACACAGAUGUUCUUGGAAACAUUAAACAAUAAAUAAUGAAUGUUAUGUGUGUGCCUCCAUUUGAAAAAGUGUUGAUGUGCUCCUCAUUGUGUCCCAUAUUUCAGCCAUUGUUUUCAUAUCUCACCUGUUACAUAAUUAGCCACAUGAGCAAAUGCAGUCAGAUUAGAGGGAUGAUCUGUGACAGGUUACAUUCUCCAAGUGAAUACAAAAGCUGGGUUUUUAGUUUAUGUUGUGUCUGUCGCUUUAAAUUUGCAGCAUUUUUCCAACUUGCAACCCUCAGCUUAUCAUAUUACUGUUUUACUAAUGGUGUAAUGCUGAAAUCCUGGUGUGAUAAAGAUUAGACUUGCAGACAAAAUGCUUCUUUUCAUUUCUCGUCGGAACUCUUAUGACUAUUUUCCACAAAUCAACAAACUUCCUUCACGCUCUUUCCAGUAAAGAAAUGAUUCCAGGAUGAAACACAUUAGCUUCUUUAAAGUGCAGAUGAAUGAAUCCGAUGCUUUUGUGUCUUCACGCUCAGAGAGUAAUUCUUUGUAUGUUUGCAGCUUCAGCUGGUUCAAACACUGCAGCUCAUCUGCUAACAAAGGAAAAGCAGGAGCACAUUACUCCAACGUUGGCCUCUCUCCAUUAUCUACCCGUGGAGUUAAGAGUCAAAUAAAACUAAUUACCUAUUAAGUAAUGCAACUGGGUGAAGUACCCAGUGAAGUAGUUUGGGGUUUUGUCAAAGUGCAUUCACAGAUUUUGUGUCUACUGUUUGAAAUAAUCCUAAUCUCUUGUAUUAUUACUGCAUUGAAUAUAUUUGUCGUCUGAUCGGUAAUGCCUCACUCUCUGCUUGAAGUUUUUGUUUGUCCAUCUUUAUUACUUACUUAUUAUUUUAUUACUUACAUGAAUUUUCUUUUGCUUAAAUAGCAGCAACAACAACCAGCAUCUUUGGUUAUGAUUCUCAGAUCACAAUGUAAUGCUGAGUAAUAACCAUUAACCAACUAGUCACGAAAUGACUCAAUCGGCACAAAGACCCUUACUGACCCUUUGAGCGUUUUCCCUCCAAGUUUAAUUUCCACUCAAAGUACCAGGAGAGACUUCCAGAGUUCCCUCCCUUAAUACAAUUUGUGAUGAGAGCAGCUGAUCUCAUGUACACGGAGUCUGUGACCUGACCUAGUUCACGGUGGCAUUGUGUUUUUAAAGCUGGAACCCAUGUGAUCUCGAAUGAUCCAUUUGUUGUCUUUCCUUCUGUCCCCAUAGACAAUCUACGAUGACACUGAGGGGGGGCGCGAGUGUGUAUUCCUUCAAACAUCUGUUUUCCUGCUCACGUUCCUUCUGAUUGGACAACGGGGACAUCUCUGAUGUGUGAUAAAGCUCCUUACUGCAAGAAGCAUUGUCAGACCUUCUUGCUCCUCACAGGAGUCGGAAGCUCUGUUAUCAGUGAUGUGUGCGGGACAGAAGCCAAUCAAUAGCACAUUAGCAUGUGAUCUGCUCCUGUGGCAUUCAUUAUUGCUUAGCCCACUGGUCUGCAUCAUUUGGAUGUACUGUAGGUACUGUGAAAUGUACGUUUUGAGAGGGAGAAGAGUAAUGAUAACCCCAGGAGGUCAUAAAUCCAUAUCUGACUUGCAUCCACGUCAUAUUACAGCUGCGGAGAAAUCCACUCAGUCGGAGAAGUUGAAGUACAUAGAUAGGAGUUAUGUUUCGGAUGCCUUCCUCACUUUAGUUUAAAUAGCCCUGAAUGGCAAACAGCCCCUUGGGUUUGAUUGCAGCCACAUCAGAGAGGAGCAGAAGAGACAUUGACAGGGAGGAGCUGUGGAGUGCUGCUGCAUCAAUAAGCCAUUGAACGGGGGCCAGGUCUACAGCUGGAGCUUAAUAGACAGUUCCUGUACAAAAGACCUACAUCAGGGAACAGCAGACGCGAUAAAGAGUGUCCCAAAGGAAAACAAUAUUUUCUUUCCUUUGGUCCAUUUGUACGUCACAAUGCAUCCCUCUUGUCCCUUCAGAGGUGAACUCAUCAGGGGUAAACCGACACUCAGACGGAAGGAGGAGGAAGAGCCAACUUGCCAAAGCUCUCAAACAAGAGCGGAUGAAGUGGAGAGGACUGGGAGGCUGAGAAAGGGCGGAGUGGCUCCUUUGUUAAAAUGACAAGGAGGAAGGGGACCGAGAGAGAAAUGAGUCAGAUUCCCCGACAGCUGUCACUGUGUCUUACUGAUGCAGCCAGCUUGCAUCCAUCAGCCGUGGAAGGGAGGAGCCGGGGUGAAGCAUGGUCUGGUUACUGUUUGAUUAGCCAAAGAAUUCAGAGAUGCGUCUCAUGAUUAACUCCCCGAGUCAUAAGAAACAGCAUUUUUUAAAUGUUUUUCUAUCAGGGUUAAAGAUGCUGUCUCACAGUCCGUAACCAUUAAACCAUAAUUUCAUCAUUUGCCACCGGGCUUUGAUCUCACAGUAACUGAAUAGGUUCAAAACACUGAACAGAAGCUCUGCCACACUGAAACCCAUGAAAGAAACAUAACAGGAACGCGAUAACACAGCGAUGUUGCAGAUACUGUAUGCAGGGGAGGGACUCAAUGUACCGACCCUGGACUGUCUCAACUACAGAUUAACAUAAUCCACCUUUCAAAUCAGAUAGUUUCACAGGUGUUUAUUGUGAAGGCCUAAAGCACUUUUAUAUUAAUUACUCAUUGAGCACUCCUGCAGGAUGGGAGAUGAAUAAAUAAAUACUGUAGUCACCAUGAAAACACUUCAUAUGAACCAGUCUUGAAUAGAGGAAUACAAAGCAAGUUUAAAAAUAAGAUAAGAGUAUAAUCUGUGUCUGUUUAUAUGCUGCGGUGAUUCCUGUUCCAGUAUUGUACUGUAUUCCUCAUUUUUUACUAACUUUGAAAAGUUGUUUUGUUGUUGCGGUUCAAGAGGGAGUGAAAGCUAUUUGUCAUCUGCCUGUUGGUGUAAAGUGCAUGAACAGAUAUGCGUGGCUUCUCUCCAGGAGGGCCAACUGCUUUCUGCUCGCUGUCGUUCAUCAAAAGCUCAGAGGCUCGGUGGGAGCAGUCAUUUGGAAUUUCCGACUUCAGGUUAUUUAGUGCUUAUUAGCAGCAUUACACAGCAGUAAGGUGACAAGUGACAUCCGGGGGCCACUCACAGAGCGCCCUCUCAUGCACUCAUUAAGUGUAAAGAGCUCGAGGAACACAGAUAUCUAGACACCUCCUAUAACAAGGGCGACUACCCCUCAUCGGCGCCGACUUAGAGCGCAAAGUUAAAAAGGUUACCCGAGGCUGCCGGAAGUAGUUAAUCCUUUCAGUCUUUUCAACUCUGUCAAGCCCCUGCAUCGUUUUCAUGUCCUGAACUAUGCUGCUGUCACGAAAUUAUCGGAGAAUUAAAAGCUAAAAGUCACUUCAACGCAACGCCUUGAAGGGCAAAGCAGUACGAUUACACAGAGCGCAAAUUAACUUGUGCGCUCACUACCAAAAGGAAAGUAAAGGAAGCUAAAUAGCAAAGCUCUGCGUGUGUGUAUCCAGCCACUAAGCAAACAAAUACAGUUAUCUCUUUGGACAAAAAGAGAGGGAUCUGAAUAUUUAGGGGAGAUGUAGGACAAAUAAGAAGCUGCCAUUCAGAAAGGGCCCCAGAAGCGCUUUCUGACAUUUUAACGGUGAUCUACAUGAGUGACAUUUACAGAAUCAACCUCAGACUGCAGUCUGCAAUUCUCACUGGAAAACGCUUAAACCUCAGCUGACAUUAAGUCAACAACCACCCUGAAUCUGCUUCACAUCUGUCAAGAUAGAUAUUGAAAAAGCAGAGUAAUCAAAAGUGAAGAAACAGGGAUGUGUAAGAAAUUGCACAUGUUUGUAACAUUGAGCCAUUAGCAGAGGUUUAAGGAGAUCCUAUAGUGAAGCAGAACUCGACAGAAACAACGCAGCACACCUAAUAGAUCCACACAUUACUGACAAUAAUAGUUAUUUUCAUUGCAUUUUCUAACAUAUACUGUACAUAUAUACACAGUCUGAUCCAAAUAUAUAUAUAUAUAUAUAUAUAUAUAUACACACACAUACACACACAGUACUCAUGAGUGACCAAUGGCUCCGGUACCAGUGUGUCCCAAGAUGGCAUCACAGUGCUAAGCUGCUAGAAUUCAAUCAACUAAUGAAGGUCCAGGAUUUUGUUUAAAACAACUAGAUAAUGUAAUACGGUGGUGUUUGAAGGACAUCACAGGUAAAAGAGAGUACAGUAACAAAUGUGUGCUUGUGCAUCUGGUAAUGUGGCGGAGAAAGAGAUGGCCACAACAAGAUGUUAUUAUGUCUUUAAAUCCGUCUUUGUAUUGUCUUGUCGGAUGUUUCUUGUUCCAAACAUCCUGGAAGAAACGGGUUUUUUUUUUAAUAUUGUGUGCAUGCAUAUAUAUAUUAGUAGCCUGAGGGCCACUGAUGUUCUGUUGUACCUCUUGGGAGAUGCAACCACUUGUACUCACAAAUUCAUACUUUUUUAUAUACUCACUCACUCUGCUAACCCCCAUUACCCUUCUGUGCUGACACAGCGCUUCUACAGUGCAGGACAAGAAAAGGCUCUCCUGCUCCCAACAGCUGACAAAGACACUGCUCCCCAUCUCACACGUUUUCACUGAACUCCCUUAGUCGCUCAUUGCCCGCAUCUCUUACUUUACCAGAGCACAGCACUGCCCAUUAAGCAACAUAAGUAUUUCCUAAGAGCCCCCAUUGCUCUUUCAUUCAACUUAUUUUGCCAAAAUUUAGUGACCAAGACACUGUGAGACGUGCCAAAUGGAGGCCGUAAGGAUUAAGUCAUUUUCUGUCCCCUCAAAAGAGGUACAAAAGAGGAUUCUGUGUUAAAUAAAAGGAAUAAAUCAAAAUGUUCAGUUUUUUUAGAUACUUUUUGACAUAUCAAUAAAGUAUCAGCCAAAUGUUUUGACCUCAAGUGUCUGCAUGGUUGACGUAUUAUGGAAUUUACUGUGUCCAGGCAAUAGGAUUAUAUUGAGUUUUCUUUUUUGUUCUAUUCUUGCUCUGUAAAGUUCCUGACAGCUUCCAUCUGGUGAUGCAAGCAGCAUGAAAAAGUAUUCAACAACCCCUUUGAAAACAGAACAAUGAAAACAGUAAUAAAAGUUACCAAACAUAAGCAGCCAUUCGAUGUGCUGAGGACACUGCGGCAGGCACCUGAAUGCUCCUGGACUGGAUUACCAGAGUAUUUCCAGAGAUACUAUGUGGUGAAAGUCAAUUGUUUUUAUGGCUUUAUUUUUCAGAGGGCCUGGUGGGACAGGUUGUUCUAAGCUCACUGACAGUCUAAAUGCACGCUGGUAUUGAUUGUCCUUCCUCUGGCCUUUCACACAGUCUUGCUGAGGCCACAUUAAAAGCUUUAUAAGCCUUUUGUGGGCUACAGGCCUUGAAUCUCACCUGUCUUAACUUACAUUAUAUUGACACAUUGGGCUCUGACAAGGGCUUUUUUUCAUCAUGUAGCCUGCAGGUGUUUAUGAUCUUGCGACAGAGAGAUGGCUUGUGUGAGUGUGUUGGUUCAUGUGUCUAUGCACAGUACACACUCUCCGUACUGUGCUGAACCUGGGGAGCACGUGUCAGCGAAUGGCUGUGUUAAGUCAGACAUUGAAUCGGUGUGUGCUGGUAAGUGUGAUUGUGUGUGUGUGUUUGUGUGUGUGUACAGGGAGAAGGCUCGUCCUCAUGCUGCCCUGGGGGCUCAGAGCCCAUUUCCUGUUGUGCAGUGUGAUAAGUUUCCCUGUCAGAUCCUCCCAGCACCACCAUAUUUCUGAUAAGCUCUACUGCUAGUUUUUCCGACCUCUGGCACUGAGAUCAAUUUGAGAUUGAUUCAGAAUGCCCUGCUGGGCCGAGCUGGAAGAUCAAUUUGAGAUGGAUUGUUCACGCCAGGGGGCCAAUGACACGCAGCGCAGUGCUCACUUGCUUCCCCUUCUUUGCUUUCUUCACCCCUCACUCUCGCUAACUGUUUUUAUUUCUCUCUCUGAAUGUUUCUCUUCCAUCUCUUCCACUCUCCUUCAGCUGUUUGGCACUGUUCUGUUGUUUCUCUGAAUUACACCCUGCAUGUUUUUUCCAUCAGUCCUUAUUCAUGCUUCCUUCUCUACCUCUCUGACCAGCUUCCCUUCUGUCCUCCAACCGUCGAAAAGGCAGCAGUGGUAGAAAUGACUUCAUUAGCAGGGGGACCGACCCCUGUAGACUGAUAAGCCUGCAGGACAGGUGCGAUAACUCAUCCGGGUUUGUAACACAGCUAAAGAAAUACAUGCAUUUAAACCAACACACCAACAUAGAUUCAUUUUGUUGAAUUUCCUCAGUUACGCGAUCAUUUCUUCCAUCAACGCCUGGCAUUCCUCCACAGAGCAUCAGGUCUACAGCCUCCAUAUCACUCCCUUGCUCCUCGCUUCAACGGCCUCCCAUCAUUAGUUGUUUUAUGCUCCUUCAAAAAUGAUGUGGCAGUGGCCUUGAAACAGGAAGAUGCACUCUCCUCCCUUCUCUGCACGGAGUGACCUUUUCCUCAGCAGCACAUCCACCUCUGACUGCACUGACCUUUACCUACAGUACCCCCUCGUCGCCCAACCAAGGAAUGGAUUACAGGCACCAAAUUGUCUGUGCAUCCAACCAUGCAGAAAGAAAGAAAGGCGACAAAAAAAAGAUGGAAAGCUGGACAUAAAAAAGAAUGGCAGUGACAUUUUAAAUGCUGAAGUGGAAGGAGAACGUAUGGUUGCUUUAGUGAAUUUUCUUUUAGUGAAUUUUUGCCACAGCGGAAGCAUAAUAUUGCAUUAAUGAAACGCGUUGUUGCUAGUUGUUGCUAAUCACUUGCUCACUGUGGAUGGUGUGAAAGGGUUAAGUAUCCUUAAAUAAACUACAUAUAAAGUAUUUUUCCAACCAUAUCACUGCUACGUCACCUAUUGGUUCGUUAACUGCUAUUUGAAUGCGCUGUCUGAUUGAAGCAACAUGACGGGGGAGUUAAACUGAAAACACAAUAUGAAAAGGUUAAAGUUGUAAGAUGAAAACACAUCAUCACAUCACAAACCCAUCAAGUGAGAAACAGGCCAAUUGUUUUCAUAGACUUCUAUUCAAUAUAAAAUAUUCUCACAACGAGAGCACAAAGGAAAGAACUGUGCGUGUUUUGCCUUAAUUCGCUUCAUUGGUUGAUCAACUUUAAAAAAAUAAUAGCUGCAAUAAAUUCUUGUGAAGUAAGCAAACAGGGCAUCUGCUUAUGUCCUGUGAGGAAAUCAAUUGGGUGGCCUGCAGGAGGCUUUUUAUCUCCCAGUAUGUUUCCCUGCACAUAAUGCACCCGACCCCUUUUAUUAAAAAUAAAAUCUAUUACAGUCAUGUUUUAAAGAGAUAAUCAGGAUGUCAUGCAUACAGAUUUAGCUGUGGGUGGGUGUCAUAACAGCUGGCAGCCAGCUGCUGUGUUGUGACAAUGGGAAUAAUGUCACAGUCCAGCAAAGAAAUGUUGGCGCAUCAAAAACGGGUGAAUUUCAACAUUGCUUUCCUAACUGCUGAUUGCCGUCAUUUGCCCUUUGCGUUUUCACUGCUUCUGGUGGUUUGACAGAUGUCAGCCAGCUGAGCCCCAGGCGAGCCACACAUAAGAAAUCUGACAAAAUAAGUGUUGCAUAUGCAAUAUGCAGCUUUACGGUUCCAUUGUCAUUACUGCCACAAUGCUUCUGAAAAGGUUUUAAAGAAUGAUUCAGGAUUAUUGACAACAUUUUAUUGCCUCCACAGAGGUUAUGUUUUUAGUUAGGUUUGCCGGUUUGUUUGUCAGCUGGGUUUUUGAAAGACUGCAGGCCCAAUUUUCAUGAAAUUUAGUUUGUUCCUCUUGCCCCAUGAGCAAUAGCAAUAAACAUGGAGGAACAAUGAUACCCUAUAACAAUGAUUGGCAAAGUUGUAAUUAACCAAAAAUUGUAUUGUUAUUUGCUGGAGCCCCCUUAUGGCUCAUUUCCUGUCGCCUUAUUGUCCAUCUUUUUAAUAUCUGCCAUCAAAUUAGCCUUUGGGUUUUGUCACUCUCUGUAUCAAACGGAAUAGACAUCAUACCCCACUGCUCACGGCAACUUCAGACUUCAUAUCCUGCUGCCUCCACCGGCUCCUGCCCCUGUGUGUUUGAGGCAUUGCGGCAUUGUUUCCAUCCUGACCUAAAGUCCUCUAUUGUCAGGGUUGCGGGGUGGAAGGCAGGACUCAAACGCAGACUUGCAGAAAACCAAAAGACUUUAAUAGUCAAAGCUCAAAAAACAGGAACCGG
Gasterosteus aculeatus aculeatus (three-spined stickleback) is the source of this 9483-nucleotide long non-coding RNA. The record is from Ensembl. NCBI's taxonomy places the organism in Eukaryota, Metazoa, Chordata, Actinopteri, Perciformes, Gasterosteidae.